This is a non-coding RNA of Hyaloscypha sp. PMI_1271, 162 nucleotides long. NCBI's taxonomy places the organism in Eukaryota, Fungi, Ascomycota, Leotiomycetes, Helotiales, Hyaloscyphaceae. The record is from the annotation of a GenBank genome assembly.
GGCUUUGUAGUUCAAUGGGUAGAAUACCAACCACAUGUUGCUCUUGUAACACUAUCGUUAGUUGGGUCUGUCGGGUUUGUUGAGCGUUUGCUUUGCUUGCUUGCUGGGUCUGUCUUACGUUGUGCUAAGUUGGAGAUGGAGGUUCGAUGCCUUCUGAAGCCA